Molecule: ribosomal RNA, 253 nt
Filed under: uncultured bacterium
Lineage: Bacteria
Description: partial 16S ribosomal RNA
Rfam family: Bacterial small subunit ribosomal RNA
Source: RNAcentral
UACGUAGGGUGCAAGCGCUGUCCGGAAUUAUUGGGCGUAAAGAGCUUGUAGGCGGUUUGUCGCGUCUGCUGUGAAAUUUCGGGGCUCAACCCCGAACUUGCAGUGGGUACGGGCAGACUAGAGUGUGGUAGGGGAGACUGGAAUUCCUGGUGUAGCGGUGAAAUGCGCAGAUAUCAGGAGGAACACCGGUGGCGAAGGCGCCACUCUGGGCCGGUACUGACGCUGAGGAGCGAAAGCGUGGGGAGCGAACAGG